This is a long non-coding RNA of Salvia miltiorrhiza (redroot sage), 1815 nucleotides long. RefSeq lists it as uncharacterized. The transcript has 2 exons. Lineage: Eukaryota; Viridiplantae; Streptophyta; Magnoliopsida; Lamiales; Lamiaceae. The record is from RefSeq and is a predicted model, not a curated record.
CUGCACAAAACUAGCUUGUUAAAAGUUAAAGUUUGCGAUAGAUAUGAUAACAUCCAAGAAUUGGUUAUUGGAGAUCUAGGAAUUAAUAGCGUCAUUUUCCAUUUGAUGGAUUUAGUAAGUUUGGAUUUAUGGAGAUCUUAAUAUUAUUUGAAUUGGGUUGGAAUAAGCUUUUUGAGCAUUUAAAACCUGUCAAAAUAUAGAAAAGGUGCUCUGCUCUUAAAGUUUCUCUCUUUCUGAUGAACCAGAUUAGUAAAGAACUUUAGAGAUUUUAUGUCUAAGGUGUAAGUUUGGUUGACUAACUUUUGGUCUCUCAACAUGAAGAGUUCGCCUCUGUUAGAAAAAAAUAGCAAUCAUGAUUGGGUGUCAAGUCAAGUAUACUAUUUUUCCUUUCCUAUUUUAAUUGUUGAGUAAAUUUACUGGUUAUGCUGUUUAGCUCAUGUCCUUCAAAGUCUCUAAUGAUCUUGAAAUAAAUAUAGGGAAAUAAAUACCAAAAUAAUGAAGAAAUCUUUCUGUUAGCAAUGGGAUUUUAGGCCUAAACAUAGCAUAUUUGAGAAACUGUUUUCUGAGUUUGGCAUUGGGCAAUUUCUUAUGGUUUUUCUUGAAUCCCAAACUUUACUGUCUGAGUUUAUCUGUCAUUCACAGUUUUCUAUUAAUUUUAGUUCCUCCUGUGGUAGCAUUUCAGCCAGUGGGGGCGUGCGUAAGAAGGUGAUUAGAAACAUACACGACAUGCUGGGUGCCUACAGGAUAGCUAAUGACCGGUGAGAGUGAUGUCUUCAAACCAACAAAAGUCAUUUGAGCAAACGGUGCACCACGAAAUGAUUGUAGAUUCUAUGCCAACUAAUCAACCUCUUGUAGGUGUGAAAACAUUCUUUUACAGCACCUAACAUUUAAGGGAAGAUUUUAUACGACUUUGGGCAUGUAUAUGUAUAUCCAACUUAUGUGUUAUCCAUAUGUUCUCACUUGUAUUUAGCAGUCAUUUCUUGGCAUUUGAGUACUCAUAUCAUGUAUCGCAUGCCAUUCAUUGUAUGGAAAUCAUGAAUGAGCUAUAUGCCAUGUAUAUAGUGUGCAUGACAUAAAUGUUAAUAAAAUUGACAAAGUAAUCCAGAUAGUUUUGUUUGUUUGUUAUUCAAUAUGAACUGAAUCAAUUAUUUAAUAGUGUCCUUGCAAGUGUUAAAACCUACCUGUGUCAUAUAUACUAAGUAAAUAUGUGUAAUCUUUUUCUUGCUUUCUUGCUCUUGCAUACAAAUGGACUCAGCAAUCCCUCUGUAAAACAAUAGGACUGAAAGACUGAUACCACAUUAUUAAGACUGAUUUGGAAGAUGUUCUUUAUCUUUAGUGAUUAUUUGGCUAUUUGUUUUUUCUAUUAUGCUAAUAUAUAUGCAUUACUGAAAGUAGCACUUGUUGCAAGCUAUCUUGGGUUCUCUCUCAUGCAGAUUUAAAAUCAACUCAGCAUGGGAGGCGGUUUCAUGUUUUCUGCCAACUCAGCCACUUUCUCCGCCGCCUCGCCUUCGUCUCCCAAUCCAACUCUGGCUGUUUGCGUCCAACUUCAACCAUACUAUUGCUCUGAAAAGGACACCUUUUGUAGGCCGGUUCCUUCUCGAGUAGAAGUUGAAACUGCAAUUCUUGAACUCCAAAGUUUGAAGAUCGCAACUUUUUUCCAUUUCAUGUUAAAGAAAAAUCAACUUUUGAUUUUAAUCUGGUGUUUAUCUUUGUUUCUUUACUUCCUUAUCUUGGAAUUGUCGGAAUCAAGGUUGUUUUUCUCUUGAUUAGAUGGGAUUACGAUGAUUUAUGAAUGAUAAGGCUGAACUUCAUUUA